AGACCCGAAACCCGGUGAUCUAGCCAUGGGCAGGUUGAAGGUUGGGUAACACUAACUGGAGGACCGAACCGACUAAUGUUGAAAAAUUAGCGGAUGACCUGUGGCUGGGGGUGAAAGGCCAAUCAAACCGGGAGAUAGCUGGUUCUCCCCGAAAGCUAUUUAGGUAGCGCCUCGUGAAUUCAUCUCCGGGGGUAGAGCACUGUUUCGGCUAGGGGGCCAUCCCGGCUUACCAACCCGAUGCAAACUGCGAAUACCGGAGAAUGUUAUCACGGGAGACACACGGCGGGUGCUAACGUCCGUCGUGAAGAGGGAAACAACCCAGACCGCCAGCUAAGGUCCCAAAGUCAU
RNAcentral lists this ribosomal RNA (348 nucleotides) under Salmonella enterica subsp. enterica serovar Heidelberg. RNAcentral describes it as "partial 23S ribosomal RNA". It matches the Rfam family "Bacterial large subunit ribosomal RNA", at positions 711 to 1056 of the family's 2925-position model. Lineage: Bacteria; Pseudomonadati; Pseudomonadota; Gammaproteobacteria; Enterobacterales; Enterobacteriaceae. RNAcentral also lists the same sequence under 2 other names. The record is from RNAcentral.